CCCAGAUAAUGGCACCCUCAAACCAGUGUCCAGUUGUUUGAAAGGCUAUUUCUUGGUC
RNAcentral lists this microRNA precursor (58 nucleotides) under Oryctolagus cuniculus (rabbit). RNAcentral's name for it is "microRNA ocu-mir-488 precursor". Its record names the gene ocu-mir-488. Lineage: Eukaryota; Metazoa; Chordata; Mammalia; Lagomorpha; Leporidae. The record is from miRBase by way of RNAcentral.